This 429-nucleotide ribosomal RNA is filed under the name Actinomycetes bacterium. RNAcentral describes it as "Actinobacteria bacterium partial 16S ribosomal RNA". It matches the Rfam family "Bacterial small subunit ribosomal RNA", at positions 355 to 776 of the family's 1533-position model. Lineage: Bacteria; Bacillati; Actinomycetota; Actinomycetes. The record is from RNAcentral.
UAGGGAAUCUUCCGCAAUGGGCGAAAGCCUGACGGAGCAACGCCGCGUGAGUGAUGAAGGUCUUUGGAUCGUAAAACUCUGUUAUUAGGGAAGAACAAAUGUGUAAGUAACUAUGCACGUCUUGACGGUACCUAAUCAGAAAGCCACGGCUAACUACGUGCCAGCAGCCGCGGUAAUACGUAGGUGGCAAGCGUUAUCCGGAAUUAUUGGGCGUAAAGCGCGCGUAGGCGGUUUUUUAAGUCUGAUGUGAAAGCCCACGGCUCAACCGUGGAGGGUCAUUGGAAACUGGAAAACUUGAGUGCAGAAGAGGAAAGUGGAAUUCCAUGUGUAGCGGUGAAAUGCGCAGAGAUAUGGAGGAACACCAGUGGCGAAGGCGACUUUCUGGUCUGUAACUGACGCUGAUGUGCGAAAGCGUGGGGAUCAAACAGG